RNAcentral lists this ribosomal RNA (511 nucleotides) under uncultured bacterium. RNAcentral's name for it is "bacterial SSU rRNA". It matches the Rfam family "Bacterial small subunit ribosomal RNA", at positions 15 to 518 of the family's 1533-position model. The record is from RNAcentral.
GAUCCUGGCUCAGGAUGAACGCUGGCGGCGUGCUUAACACAUGCAAGUCGAACGGAGAAUAUAUGUGAGCGGAGGGUGCUUGCAUCUAACAAUCUUUAUAUUCUUAGUGGCGGACGGGUGAGUAACGCGUGGGUAACCUGCCUUGUACAGGGGGACAACAGUUAGAAAUGACUGCUAAUACCGCAUAAGCGCACAGGAGCACAUGCUCUAGUGUGAAAAACUUUAGUGGUACAAGAUGGACCCGCGUCUGAUUAGCUAGUUGGUAAGGUAACGGCCUACCAAGGCAACGAUCAGUAGCCGGCCUGAGAGGGUGAACGGCCACAUUGGGACUGAGACACGGCCCAAACUCCUACGGGAGGCAGCAGUGGGGAAUAUUGGACAAUGGGGGAAACCCUGAUCCAGCGACGCCGCGUGAGUGAAGAAGUAUUUCGGUAUGUAAAGCUCUAUCAGCAAGGAAGAAAAUGACGGUACUUGACUAAGAAGCCCCGGCUAACUACGUGCCAGCCGCCGC